UUUCCGUAGGUGAACCUGCGGAAGGAUCAUUAUUGUAUAACCGAGGUGCGAGGGCUGUCGCUGACCCGAAAGGUCGUGCACGCCCGAGUGCCCUCACACACAUCCAUCUCACCCCUAUGUGCACCACCGCGUGGGUCCCCCUUUGGCUUGUUCGGAGGGGGGCUUACGUUUUCACACAAACUCUGUAUGCAGUGUAGAAUGUAUUUUUUGUUUUUGCGAUCACGCAAUCAAUACAACUUUCAACAACGGAUCUCUUGGCUCUCGCAUCGAUGAAGACGCAGC
This 282-nucleotide unclassified non-coding RNA is filed under the name plant metagenome. RNAcentral's name for it is "partial contains small subunit ribosomal RNA, internal transcribed spacer 1, and 5.8S ribosomal RNA". The stretch from base 235 to 282 matches the Rfam family "5.8S ribosomal RNA", at positions 1 to 49 of the family's 154-position model. The record is from RNAcentral.